Non-coding RNA from Dermacentor andersoni, 895 nucleotides. The record is from RefSeq and is a predicted model, not a curated record. NCBI's taxonomy places the organism in Eukaryota, Metazoa, Arthropoda, Arachnida, Ixodida, Ixodidae.
UGGGUCAAAAGAUAGGUCGUAAACACUGGCGCAGCAUGCGGACGUUGCGCUCGGUGCGCAUGCACGACUGGUCAAGUGGCCUCGCUGCGCAGGGCGUCCCCCCUCUCGACCGCAUGCACAACGAUCUACAGGUGGUUCACGCACGUGGUUGUCUUUUGACAGUGCCCGGGUGUGUAUAUAUAUAAGACGGCGUGCUUACGUCCACGAGGGCCACACAAGCUUCAGCGACGUGUGGGAAUACGGACCCCUCCGAAGGUUUUCAACCGUGGUUUCUCACUCAACACUCGCCUGAAAGAUGAACAGGUCCCUGCUUGUCACAAUCGUCGUCUUGGCUGCCCUUUGCAGUUUGACCGCCGCCCAAUUUGGCUACUACGGUGGUUUUGGACGCGGCUUCGGAUACCGAGGAUACGGUGGUUACCGUGGCUUCGGCGGUUACGGAGGCUAUGGCGGAUACCGAGGCUUUGGCGGUUUCGGUGGCUAUAGAGGCUUCGGACGUGGAUAUGGCUUCUAUGGUUAAGAGACCGGCCGUGCUGAAAUUGGUCCCUACGUGUGGAGAGGCAUGAUGCUGAUGAACAAUAUUUGUAGAUUUUUUUAGGGAAAUACAUGUUUCCAGAGAAGACGAGUGAUGUCAUUGGUUCUUAAGUAUAGAACGGAUUCAAUUUCCUUCGUGCAACAAGCACACAAGAUCUAAUACUGAACUAAAUCACUUCUACUGAUGAGUAGUUAAAUAUCCCAAAGUUUGCUGCAAAUUUAAUCGCGCUCCAUAAGAGAGUUAUAGAACUACCUCUUCUCAACAAAGGGCAAUGAAAAUUACGUGCUGUAAGUAUUCUGGGUGUCUGAAAAGCAAUUGGAUAGCUUGCAAGUGCAACAGCUAAUAAAAAAAGCCUGCAAGCAC